Molecule: ribosomal RNA, 457 nt
Filed under: Liodessus luteopictus
Lineage: Eukaryota; Metazoa; Arthropoda; Insecta; Coleoptera; Dytiscidae
Description: partial 16S ribosomal RNA
Source: RNAcentral
AACAAAAACAUGUCCUUAAGAAUUGAAUUUAAGGUCUAACCUGCCCACUGAUUAAAAAUUUAACGGCCGCAGUAUUUUGACUGUGCAAAGGUAGCAUAAUCAUUAGUUUUUUAAUUGAAAGCUUGUAUGAAUGGUUGGACGAGAUAUAAACUGUCUUUAUUUAAUUAUAGAAUUUAAUUUUUAAGUUAAAAAGCUUAAAUAAAUUUAAAAGACGAGAAGACCCUAUAAAUCUUUAUAAAUUUAUUUAUUUAAUUUUUUUGGAUUAAUAAUUUUAAAAUAAAUAAAUUUAUUUUAUUGGGGUAAUAAAAAGAUUUAAUUAAUUCUUUUUGAUUUUAACAUUGAUUAAUGAGUUUAAUGAUCCAUUAUUAUUGAUUAUAAGAUUAAGUUACUUUAGGGAUAACAGCGUAAUUUUUUUGGAGAGUUCUUAUCGAUAAAAGAUUUUGCGACCUCGAUGUUG